RNAcentral lists this ribosomal RNA (404 nucleotides) under uncultured bacterium. RNAcentral's name for it is "bacterial SSU rRNA". It matches the Rfam family "Bacterial small subunit ribosomal RNA", at positions 355 to 776 of the family's 1533-position model. The record is from RNAcentral.
UGGGGAAUAUUGGGCAAUGGAGGCAACUCUGACCCAGCCAUGCCGCGUGGGUGACGAAGGUCUUCGGAUUGUAAAGCCCUUUCGGCGGGGACGAUGAUGACGGUACCCGCAGAAGAAGCCCCGGCUAACUUCGUGCCAGCAGCCGCGGUAAUACGAAGGGGGCUAGCGUUGUUCGGAAUUACUGGGCGUAAAGGGCGUGUAGGUGGCUCUCUAAGUCAGGUGUGAAAGGCCUGGGCUCAACCCAGGACGUGCACUUGAGACUGAAGAGCUUGAGUCCGGGAGAGGAUGGUGGAACUCCCAGUGUAGAGGUGAAAUUCGUAGAUAUUGGGAAGAACACCCGUGGCGAAGGCGGCCAUCUGGACCGGUACUGACACUAAAGCGCGACAGCGUGGGGAGCAAACAGG